GGAAGAAAAGCAACGGGCAAGCUGGCAUCAAACAAAGACAAACAUGUUCCAGAUUUUUGUUUUUUUAAUUAUUUUUUGGUGGCAAGCCAUGCAUCAUUGCUGCGAGAUGUGAUGGGGUAAGGUUUUUUAAUUAUUUUUUGGUGGCAAGCCAUGCAUCAUUGCUGCAAGAUGUGAUGGGGUAAGGUUUUUUAAAUUUUUUUUUUUUGGUGGAAAGGCAUGUACCAUUGCUGUUAGUGUGGAUUAGGUAAGAAUAAAAUGCUGGAAUCGAAGAGAGAGCCGGAUGGUUACACAAAAAGUAAAAUAGAAGAGGGAGUCAGAAUG
Molecule: long non-coding RNA, 321 nt
Organism: Pyrus x bretschneideri (Chinese white pear)
Lineage: Eukaryota; Viridiplantae; Streptophyta; Magnoliopsida; Rosales; Rosaceae
Exons: 2
Source: RefSeq, a predicted model, not a curated record